ACGGGUGAGUAACACGUGGGUAACUUACCUCAUAGUGGGGGAUAACAGUCGGAAACGACUGCUAAUACCGCAUAGGACAUGGAAUCACAUGAUUCAGUGAGGAAAGGUGGCGCAAGCUAUCGCUAAGAGAUGGACCCGCGGUGCAUUAGCUAGUUGGUAGGGUAAAGGCCUACCAAGGCGAUGAUGCAUAGCCGACCUGAGAGGGUGAUCGGCCACAUUGGGACUGAGACACGGCCCAAACUCCUACGGGAGGCAGCAGUAGGGAAUCUUCCGCAAUGGACGCAAGUCUGACGGAGCAACGCCGCGUGAGUGAAGAAGGUCUUCGGAUCGUAAAGCUCUGUUGUUAGAGAAGAACAGCGCAUAGAGUAACUGUUAUGCGUGUGACGGUAUCUAACCAGAAAGCCACGGCUAACUACGUGCCAGCAGCCGCGGUAAUACGUAGGUGGCGAGCGUUGUCCGGAUUUAUUGGGCGUAAAGCGCGUCUAGGUGGUUAUGUAAGUCUGAUGUGAAAAUGCAGGGCUCAACUCUGUAUUGCGUUGGAAACUGCAUGACUAGAGUACUGGAGAGGUAAGCGGAACUACAAGUGUAGAGGUGAAAUUCGUAGAUAUUUGUAGGAAUGCCGAUGGGGAAGCCAGCUUACUGGACAGAUACUGACGCUAAAGCGCGAAAGCGUGGGUAGCAAACAGGAUUAGAUACCCUGGUAGUCCACGGCCGUAAAC
This 719-nucleotide ribosomal RNA is filed under the name uncultured bacterium. Its description in RNAcentral is "bacterial SSU rRNA". It matches the Rfam family "Bacterial small subunit ribosomal RNA", at positions 102 to 807 of the family's 1533-position model. The record is from RNAcentral.